RNAcentral lists this long non-coding RNA (5515 nucleotides) under Equus caballus (horse). RNAcentral describes it as "lncRNA (ENSECAG00000048035.1)". Lineage: Eukaryota; Metazoa; Chordata; Mammalia; Perissodactyla; Equidae. The record is from RNAcentral.
GGAGUGGAGGCUGUUUGCAAAUUAAACCGGAAACAAAGAUGCCAAACAGUCCAUUUAAAGGGCCCUUGAAGCUCUCACCUGAGAUGCCUGUUAUACGUUCCUCCUCCAGCUUUGCUGAAGGACGAUGUUUUAAGCAGCUCUUCCUCCUAAAGAAGUUAUCAGCUUGGGUUUAAAUUACCUCUUGGGAGGUAAAUCCUCAACUAGAGGCAACCCUGAAUCAUCGGAACAUGUUGGGGUCAGACACCUUCAGAUAAGCAUCAGUGCAACAACAAGAGAGCUUUCUUACAGCAAAAUGGAAAUUUAGACCAAGAGACACAAAGUACCGGGAAAAAACAGAAGAAACCUGGUGUGGUGAGUAGAGAAGGAACGAGUUUUCGGGGAAACUGUUCUUACUGGCUAAUCACAGUGAUGGAGUCAGUUGUCUGUCUGCCAAGUGUUCGACGGUGCUCCUAAUUCACUGAGGGGAACGGUUCAUGUUUAACUCAAGUCAAAACAUAGAGAUAGGGUAGGAUUUUCUUAUUUUCCAUGUUUGUGGAUGAAACAUCUGGAAUAAGGCUAAUCAUUUUAUCAGUUUGGGGGUGUGUAAGAGCAGAGACACUAACAGAAUAAAAUAGAGCUCCCAGAGUUUUGUCGUCCAGGGAACGUUACAAGAAUCUUCUCUUUCUUCACCCAGUUCACCACUGAAAGUGAACACGUACUCAAAUACCUCAGGGACGCCUAACAGCUGAUCAACCUAAUUCCACAACUGUCUUAUUAACUUAUAACUUUUAAGUAUGUAAAUAUUCUGUACGUGCAUACAAUACAGAUAUGAGUGAGUGUGGAGCAGAUUUUGGAAAUGUUCAGUUCUUUUAAUGAGAAAGAGAAACUAGUUUAUAAAUCUCACUUGUCAGACCCAUGUAGGAGGGAUAUUUUGUUUUUCUCCUAAAAACAACAUUUUCUUUGUAAUAUGGAAAAUAUAGAAAUAUGGACUAUUUCCUUGCCAUAUGAAAUAAUAUGGAAAAUAAAGAAGCUAUGCUCUUGAAUAUACUAUUUUCAUAUGACAUUUGGUUUCUCGUUAAUAGAAUAAUGGUGUAAUAAAUAGUAGACUAAGGUUAGCUAUUAAAAGUGCAAGGGAAAUAUCUCAUUUAUAUAUUUGUAAAUUAAAACCCCAAGGAGAAAUGAUGGAGAGCAUAUUGGUUUGGAAAGCACAAAUCUCCUUUAUCCCUCAGUUUCCUCUUUUCUGAAGCCUCAGAUUCUUCCCUCUACCAAGAGUCAGGCAUUGGAACCCACAACCAUUCCUGCCUUUAACAAGGCGAAAAUCAGACUAUGAAGCUGGACCAAAGGACAUAGGCAGAAGGAACUGGCUGUCAGUUUCUUACUUGGGUGAGUUCUAACACGGCAAUAAGGUUUCUUUACCAAGACUUCCUCUCUCCCCACAUCUCUUUACGCACUAAAACUUCGAACCCUCAUCUCAUCUCAGGGAGGUCUCUGUGCCUUCAUCAUCCUGCCUUGGAGCUUUCUGUAGACUAUCUGUUUUGCUAGGAAAUGCCCUACUGUGCAAGUCACUAACUCUUUUUCUUUCUGCAGAUGAUUUCAGUUACAGAAUUCCUACCUUGCCUUUCCCUAACUGAUGGAAUACAAGUAAAGAAUUCACCUGGGGCCGUCCUAUCUAAAGCUGCAACUAAACUUAACUCCUUCUUUCAGAAGGCAGUAUGAUAGAGUGGAAAGAACAUGGACUUGGGAAUUGAGCAAUCCUUGGUUUGGAGGGAAAAAACUGAAUGUUGGUUGCCACAUGAAUUGUGUGAAAUUACUUUUAGCUUUGGUCCCUUAGAGCUUCAUCUUGAGAUAAUACCGUCUACCACAUGUGAUUAAUAUGAGUAUUAAAUGCAUGAAUAAUGUCUGAUAGGCACUGAAUAGAUAUAGUCCCUACUCCAUUCCACAGAAGGCACUUGUCUUUUUUUUUUUUUUUUUUUUUCGGUGAGGAAAAUUGUCGCUGAGCUAACACUCUCCUUUUCAGGACUUUGCCUUAUAAAUCUAGCCGUCUUGGUAUCCUCGGACUUUGAUGUUGUUCUCUUCACCUCAGUAGGAGUGUCAGGUUCCUUGGGUUCCCUUUCCCCUGCAGUAUGGCCUGAAGUUGGCUCUAAACGGUAAGCUAGGAGAUCCUAAAGCUCAUCUCAUUUGUUUCCUUUCUCUCAAUGAUGACAGUCCUAUGCUGCCUAUUGUCAAAUGUCUGAAAACCAUUGUUUCAUCUGUUUUAUCAAGUUUAUAUUGAAGGGUAAUUCCUGUUGCUGCUAAUUCUUCUUGGUCAAAGGAGAAAUCUGCCAGUCUCCUGUAGACUUACUCUAAUAAGCUUGUGCUCCACCAUUCUGCUGAAACUCUUUGCAUCAAGGCCACCAAUGAUCUCCAGAUUGUGAAAUCUAAUAUACCUGUAUUUAAGAUUCACAAAAGACUGUUAACUCUCCUCCAGAACUCAUGAAACUACUAUUGAUGACACAAGUAGGGCAACAUGCAAGAGCACUAAGUGAACUAUGUAGUAUUUUAAGUCUAAAGAAAAUUAGUCAUGGAUUCUCAAGACUUUCUCAGCACGAGGCUCACCUGGGUGAGAUGCAAUUUGUUUUAAGAUGCACCCAGGAUUUUGUUUUUAUUCAGGUGUGGUGAGGACAACAGAUCACGAGACACUUGCCAGAUACCUUGUUAAGCACUGUUUCCAGGAGAAGGGGGAAUGCCUCGUCACCCCGGGCCACAUGGGGAAGUGGCAGGGUCAGUCAGAAGGAGUGAGGGGAAAGCACGGGCAAGAGCCUUUAUUGUGGUUUUUGUGGGAAGGAAUCUGCAACACAGGGUAAGCAGCUGGUCAGGCAUAGGAUUGGAUAGUUUGAAUAAUUUCAGUAGGCUCUGGGCUAUAGGGGUGGCCCCUAGUUGUCCAGUACCUGGCCCUAGAGCGAAUAGGGCAGAGGAGUAUGCCUCCUGGAGCAUAAAAAUCAGAUGAGGAGGUGGUUUGGAGUACGGGCUCUGGAUUGGUUAGUUUGCAUGUGGAAGGUGUGCUUGCAGCCAAGUUGUUUGCUCUCUCUAGGAAUUAGCUAACCCUGGGAGGGCCAGUCCCUCCACUGUCCACAAGGCCCCAAGAUAGCAAAGCAUCAUAAAAUACAGAUAAUAAAAAAUAUUAUUAAUAGUCAAGAAAUAAGAAAAUGACCCACCUCACAGAGAUUUCCCUUCAUUGGGGAAUGAGAGCGGGCAGAUACAAUGAUUCCAGGAGACUCUGGGGCAGGCACGGGUCGAGGGGCCAGGCAUCAGAGCCAUUGCAGUGCGUUGGUCCCCGUCUUCUCUCAGCUGGGUUACUGCAGUCUCCUCCUUGCUUCUAGUUGUACUUUCCUUCUCCACGCUGUAUUCAGUGAUGUUUAUAUGACACAUGUCUGAUCUUAGCGCUCACCUGUUCAACACUCUGCAGUGGCACACCUCCAAUAAAGUGAGCCAUGUGAAUUUUUUGGUUUCUCAGUGCAUAUAAAAGUUAUGUUUCCACUAUACUGUAGUCUAUUAAGUCUCCAAAAGCAUUAUGUCUAAGAAAACAAUGUACAGACCUUAAUUUAAAAAUGCUUUAUUGCUAAAACUGCUAACCAUCAUCUGAGCCUUCAGCAAGUCAUAAUCUUUUUGCUGGCGGAGGGUCUUGUAAAAAAAAUGCAAUAUUUGCAGAGCGCAAUAAAACGAGGUGUGCCUGUACUUGUAGAAUCAGCCCAAACUUCCUAACAUGGAAGAUAGCUAUUAUUGAGUCGCAUUUCUUGCCAUGAGCCACUCCCUCCUCCCAAUGCCCUACCCUCACCGAACCCCUCCCCGCCAUGCACACAGUUCCACAGCACAGGCAGUUAUACUGAAUUUCCCCCACUUCUUUAAAGACAUCAAGCUCUUCUUUCUAGUGCUUCACCCUUAUUCCUUCUUGUUCAAAGGAUGCUUCAGACCUUGGUUGAAGCAUAGCCUCCUCAGAGAGGUUUCUCCUGACUGUCCCCCAAUCCAGGUCGGCCUCGGGGACCCGCUCAGUCUUCAUGGCACUCUCUGCUUCCCCAUCACAGCUCUAACCACACUUCUAUAAAUGCCUAUUUACUCCUCUCACUUGCCACGAGGACAGGGACCAUGUAAAUUGUGUUCGCUCUUGUAUUAUCAGCACCUAGUACGAUGCUUGGCACAUGACAGUCUUUCAGGAAAUGUGUGAAAAUGUGUAUGAAUGAAUGAAGCCUCAAAGCUUGAGACCCAGGCCUGGGCUGGGCAGAGAGGAGAUUGAGGCAUUCCUGGAGGGGUCUGAGCUGAGACACUGAGUCAGGCUUCUAACGUUUUUUCCGCUGAGAUGAGUGGGGUUGGGCCUGGGAUAGGGAGAUCAUAAACCUCCAUUCCUGACCUUAAAUUAGAACCAAACUGGUGUCGAGGGGAAGAGGAAAAGCAGAUAUACCAUUUUCUUGGGAAAUUUCUUCUCAGUAAUUUCACUCUAGGUCAUUUAGUUCUUUAUGCCCAAACAAGUUAAUGCAGCCGUCAGUUAUAGUAAGAGCUCUGAUCUUAAACUGGUUUAAAAUGAGGACCGGGAUGACGACGCUCAACAGAAGAAGAUGAGUCUUAAGAAAUCCAGUGUUGUUGAAAAAUAAUAAAAUUCUAACACUUUAUAAACUUUGUGAUAUUCCUCUUUAAUUUCGGCAUUAGAUAGAGGUGAUGAAUAUUACAUCUCCAUUUUGCUGAACCUAUAACAUAAGCCGCAUUUUCCAGAGAAAGAUAAUUAAAUUUAUAAAAGAUUUGAGAAAGAAAUCCCCAAAAGCUAAAGAAAACUUUUGGGAGGAAAAGAAGUUACUCAAAAACCUACAAAGGAAAAAGAGAUGAGAGGAAGGUGUGGAGGUGUUGAGUGCCUAUCGUCCAUUUGAUUGAGGUCCAGACUGGAGGAACUGGCCCGAAAUUGCAGCAGGAUGCAUCAGGCUGGACAGCAGGGAGAGGGAGCGACCUCAACUCUCUUUCUCUCUGAAUACACACACACACGCACACACACACACGCACACACACAGACCAGUUUAUACCUGAUUUGUUUAAAAGCAGCUCCAUUCAAAAGAGAAGAGACUAUCCCAAACCACAUUCCAAAGCAACUUCAAGCAUUAAAUAAUGGAUUUUUUUCUUCCUCUAGCAGUUUCUUUUGCAAAAGAAGAGGACGCUACACGGUUUGAUUUCUCUUGUUUAGAGCUUUGUCAGCAUUGUUUGUUCCACUUCAAGAAGACAUUUUCAGAAGUUGUGAAAAUCACCGAUAACAUCAACGCCAUCAUCAGAAAAGCAGCCACCUGCCCACUGCGAAUUAUAGACGUGAUAAACCAGGGACUACAUGCAAAUGGGCGAGGAUGUGGCCCACUCCCUGAAGGAUGAACGCUCUCUGCAAGAGAAACCCCAGGUGGGGAUACAAUGAGAAGAUGGCCGUCUGCAAACCAGAAAGCGGGCCUCACCUGACACUGGAUCUGUCGGCACCUUGAUCUUGGACUUCCCGAUGGCCUCCAGAACUGUGAUAAAUAAAUGGUUGUUC